UGGGGAAUCUUGCGCAAUGGGCGAAAGCCUGACGCAGCCAUGCCGCGUGAAUGAUGAGGGUCUUAGGAUUGUAAAAUUCUUUCACUGGGGACGAUAAUGACGGUACCCGGAGAAGAAGCCCCGGCUAACUUCGUG
This 135-nucleotide ribosomal RNA is filed under the name uncultured bacterium. Its description in RNAcentral is "partial 16S ribosomal RNA". It matches the Rfam family "Bacterial small subunit ribosomal RNA", at positions 355 to 507 of the family's 1533-position model. The record is from RNAcentral.